UACGAAGGGGGCUAGCGUUGCUCGGAAUUACUGGGCGUAAAGCGUGCGCAGGCGGUUUUGUAAGUCUGUCGUGAAAGCCCCGGGCUCAACCUGGGAAUUGCGAUGGAGACUGCAAGGCUUGAAUCUGGCAGAGGGGGGUAGAAUUCCACGUGUAGCAGUGAAAUGCGUAGAGAUGUGGAGGAACACCGAUGGCGAAGGCAGCCCCCUGGGUCAAGAUUGACGCUCAUGCACGAAAGCGUGGGGAGCAAACAGG
RNAcentral lists this ribosomal RNA (253 nucleotides) under uncultured bacterium. RNAcentral describes it as "partial 16S ribosomal RNA". It matches the Rfam family "Bacterial small subunit ribosomal RNA", at positions 524 to 776 of the family's 1533-position model. The record is from RNAcentral.